UUGUGGUCAGGAUGGAAUAGAAAAGAGAAGCCAGAAGAUGAUUGAAUUUAGGGAAACCGGACGUCCCUGACUAAAAGCCUAGAUCCAGAUAGAAGAGGGGAGCUUUACAGUCAUAGAAAGGAAAACAAUUCAGGAACCAGAAGAUCCAAGAUAAAGAAGCCAUAAUCUUCUCUGAAAGCAAGAAGAAAACAGUUCUCUGUGAACGUCGGUCUGUUUUUUAACCUUGUGCCCCUGUUCUUCCUUUGGUGCAGUUACUAUCCCAUGACAAACUCAGAGCUGAGACUGAGCUUCUGUUGUGAAAAAUCAGUGUAAAAAGGACUUUAAAAUGUUGGACAGAACCGUGUUUUAUUAUAAUUGAAGGUGGCCAUGGAAGCAGGGAGCUAGCAGCCAACUCUCAGCUCUGCCCACUAUGUGGCGCCAUGUCACCUCCACCCAUUCUGGGGGAUGCUUUGGGGAAUCCAAUGAAGACAAUGUUUCCAUAAAUGGAGAUGGCCAAACCUUGCUGCCCCGGGGCUUUUAUACCAUAUCACUGGGCCAACACCGAGAGACAGGAAGGCAGGGACCCAACCUCUUCUGUGGGCUCUGAGCCCAUCAUGGCCAACAGACUCUUUUUCUGGGUCUCCAUUUUUCUCCUGGGAGCAGCUCCCACUGAAACUGGAGUCACUCAGACACCAAGAUACCUGGUCACAAAGGUGAAGCAGGAGGUGACGCUGAGAUGUCAGCAAGAUUUGGGGCACAGUUACAUGUCUUGGUACCAACAAGAGCCACAGAAAGGACCCAGGGUAAUGUAUUCUUAUACCCUUAAAGAUAUGAAUUUAAAUGAGACUGUUUCUCCAAGAUUCGAUUCUGCAUCAUCAGGGAAUGGUCAUUUGACUCUCAAAAUCCACCCUGUGGAAGCAGAGGACUCAGCCACCUACUUCUGUAGCAGCAGCAGAGACACAGCCUGCAGAGUCAUCUUCAAGCUGUGCAGAAACCUCCUGUCCCUGGCAAAGGAGGGAGGGAAGCCACCACACCAGAGAGUUAGCUCACAAAGGGAAGUUCUGGAGGGAAGAGGGAUUCUCAUAACCAAGAGAGUUUUGAGAGGAGCUCUUGUUUCUCAUAUUGGUCUAAUGCACAGUUCUCUGUUUUAUUAGAAAAUGCCAGUCUGCAUUGGCAGGAGAUCUUCACUAGAAGCAUCCUGCUCUGCUGAAGUCAGAUGGACAGUUUAAAACAAAAGCAAAUUUCAUUCCUUCAUAUUACAUUACUUCUGGGGCUUCUUUUUUUCCUAAAUUGUGUUGUAAUGAGGAGACAGAACUCUAUUUGGAGAUGCUAGGGAGUAGUUUUCUAUCUCUGGUCAGCCUGUCACUUUAUUAUCUGCUAAAUGAUUACAACCUUUUUGUGAUAUCAUGGAUAGAACAUCAGCUAAAAUAGAACAUCAGCUAAAUAUGCCUGAGACGGGUCUGAUUCUUUUUGUACAGCAAAAUAACAGUUUGGUCAUGUAUACUUAUUGUGUAUCUAAUUUAC
Non-coding RNA from Sarcophilus harrisii (Tasmanian devil), 1503 nucleotides. NCBI's taxonomy places the organism in Eukaryota, Metazoa, Chordata, Mammalia, Dasyuromorphia, Dasyuridae. The record is from the annotation of a RefSeq genome assembly.